This 1395-nucleotide long non-coding RNA is filed under the name Olea europaea subsp. europaea. Lineage: Eukaryota; Viridiplantae; Streptophyta; Magnoliopsida; Lamiales; Oleaceae. The record is from RNAcentral.
AAAAAUUUCAAGUUUUAGAAAUGGCAUUCCUUAUUGGAGAACAAUCGGCUGAGCUUCUACAAGCUCAAGCUAAAUUUUGGAACCACGAAUAUAACUUCAUUUAUAUCGCAUCUCUCAAAUGUGUAACUCAACUAGGCAUACCGGAUAUCAUCUACAAACAUGGUAAACCAAUUACACUCCAACAGCUAGCCGAUGUACUCCCCAUCAACAAAGCAAAAGUUCACGGUGUGUACCGCCUCAUGAGGGUUCUAGUCCAUUCAGGGUUCUUCACCAAGGAAAAAGUUUCCGAUGAUGAUGCCAAUAUGGGGUAUUGGCUUACACCGGCUUCUCGUCUCCUCAUCAAAGACCAGUCCUUGAGUAUGAUACCAUUUUUGGAGGCCAGUUUCUAUCCUACUUACUUGAAGCCAUGGCAUCAUAUGAGUGAAUGGUUUCAAAAUGACGACCUCUCUGCAUUUGAGACAGCCCAUGGAAGCACCUUAUGGGACUAUGCUAGUCACGACCCAAAGCUCAAUGAGUUUUUCAAUGAGCACAUGGUUAACGACACAGAGUUGUUGAGUAGGAUAGUUAUUAGAGAUUGCCAAAACGUCUUCGAUAAUAUGAAGUCUAUGGUGGACGUUGGAGGAAACACGGGAUUUAUGGCCAAAGCUAUUGCAGACGCUUUCCCACACUUGCACUGUGCUGUGUUUGAUCUUCCACACGUUGUUGCAGGCUUGAAAGGUAGUAAAAACUUGACUUACAUCGAGGGAAACAUGUUUGAAUCAAUUCCUCAAGCAGAUGCAGUUAUGCUCAAGGUUUGGUUCUUUUUUCCCCCCUUACAUUACCUAAAAAAAUCUAAUUCUUACACUAUUGAUAUUUGUUAAUUAUAAUAAAUAUUCCAGGUAGAAAUUUAAGUUCAAGUUUUUGUAGAUAUAUUUAUUCACAUCUGCCCAAAAAAAAAAAAAAAAAAAAAAAAAAAAAAAAAAAAAAACAUAGAAUCGACCCCUACCUCAUGGUGUAGUAGUUUUCUUACAUAACAACUAUACAUUUGACUGUUUCUCAUUUCGUGCAUGCUAACAAAAAAUUUUCAAAACAAAAAAAAAACAGUGGAUAUUGCAUGACUGGAGUGACGAAGAGAGUGUGAAAAUAUUGAAGAAAUGCAAAGAAGCAAUCCCAAGCAAGGAGAAUGGAGGAAAAGUGAUCAUUGUUGAUAUGAUUGUACGAAACAACAAGGAAGACCAUCAACAGACUGAAACUCAGCUCUUCUAUGAUCUAUUGAUGAUGGUCUUGAUCAAUGGAAAAGAAAGAACUGAGAAAGAGUGGGAAGAACUUUUCUUUGAUGCUGGCUAUAGUGGCUACAAGAUUGCGUAUGAAUUAGGAUUGUGGUCUCUCAUUGAGGUUUAUCCUUGAUUAUCCAGU